This 494-nucleotide ribosomal RNA is filed under the name uncultured bacterium. RNAcentral describes it as "bacterial SSU rRNA". It matches the Rfam family "Bacterial small subunit ribosomal RNA", at positions 903 to 1397 of the family's 1533-position model. The record is from RNAcentral.
AAAGGAAUAGACGGGGGCCCGCACAAGCGGAGGAACAUGUGGUUUAAUUCGAUGAUACGCGAGGAACCUUACCCGGGCUUGAAAUGGAGAGGAGUAGCCGUGAAAGCGGCUAGCCAGCAAUGGCCUCUUUGUAGGUGCUGCAUGGUUGUCGUCAGCUCGUGCCGUGAGGUGUCGGCUUAAGUGCCACAACGAGCGCAACCCCUGUCGUCGGUUGCCAGCGGGUAAAGCCGGGGACUUCGACGAGACUGCCACCGUAAGGUGCGAGGAAGGUGGGGAUGACGUCAAAUCAGCACGGCCCUUACGUCCGGGGCGACACACGUGUUACAAUGGGGGGUACAGAGGGCAGCGACCAUGCGAAUGGGAGCGAAUCUCGAAAGCCCCUCUCAGUUCGGAUCGGAGUCUGCAACUCGACUCCGUGAAGUUGGAUUCGCUAGUAAUCGCGCAUCAGCCAUGGCGCGGUGAAUACGUUCCCGGGCCUUGUACACACCGCCCGU